GACGAACGCUGGCGGCGUGCCUAAUACAUGCAAGUAGAACGCAAAGUUUAUACCGUAGCUUGCUACACCAUAGACUGUGAGUUGCGAACGGGUGAGUAACGCGUCGGUAACCUGCCUGGUAGCGGGGGGUAACUAUUGGAAACGCUAGCUAGUACCGCAUACUAUUUAUUAUUGCAUGAUAAUUAAUUGCAGGUUGCAAUUGCCCCGCUACCAAAUGGCCUUGCGUUGGAUUAGCUAGUAGGUGAGGUAACGGCUCACCUAGGCGACGAUACAUAGCCGACAGGCGAGGGCGAUUGGCCAGACUGGGACUGUGACACGGCCCAGACUCCCACGGGAGGCAGCAGUAGUGAUACUUCGGCAAUGGGCGAAAGUCUGACCGCACUACGCCGCGUGCGGGAGCAAGAAUUCCGGAUCGUAAAUCUCUGUCGUCAGAGAGGAACGCGUGUGAGAGUGUAAAGUUCACACUGUGACGGUAACUGAUCAGAAAGGGACGGCUAACUACGUG
This 505-nucleotide ribosomal RNA is filed under the name uncultured bacterium. Its description in RNAcentral is "partial 16S ribosomal RNA". It matches the Rfam family "Bacterial small subunit ribosomal RNA", at positions 28 to 507 of the family's 1533-position model. The record is from RNAcentral.